GUUAUCAAGAAAGGUUGAGGGAUUAGACCCUGUGAAACCUUAGCAACCCUCCUUUGGAGAAGGUGCUACAUUCUACUGAGUUCAGUCUCGGAUAGAUAA
This 99-nucleotide non-coding RNA is filed under the name marine eukaryotic metagenome. Its description in RNAcentral is "SAM riboswitch (S box leader)". It matches the Rfam family "SAM riboswitch aptamer (S box leader)". From Rfam's summary of the family: The SAM riboswitch is found upstream of a number of genes which code for proteins involved in methionine or cysteine biosynthesis in Gram-positive bacteria. The SAM riboswitch acts at the level of transcription termination control. The record is from RNAcentral.